GAUGAACGCUGGCGGCGUGCCUAAUACAUGCAAGUCGAGCGAACAGACGAGGAGCUUGCUCCUCUGACGUUAGCGGCGGACGGGUGAGUAACACGUGGAUAACCUACCUAUAAGACUGGGAUAACUUCGGGAAACCGGAGCUAAUCCCGGAUAAUAUUUUGAACCGCAUGGUUCAAAAGUGAAAGACGGUUUUGCUUUCCCUUAUAGUUGGAUCCGCGCCGCAUUGGCUAGUUGGUAAGGUAACGGCUUACCAAGGCAACGAUGCGUAGCCGACCUGAGAGGGUGAUCGGCCACACUGGAACUGGGACACGGUCCAGACUCCUACGGGAGGCAGCAGUAGGGAAUCUUCCGCAAUGGGCGGAAGCCUGACGGAGCAACGCCGCGUGAGUGAUGAAGGUCUUCGGAUCGUAAAACUCUGUUAUUAGGGAAGAACAAAUGUGUAAGUAACUAUGCACGUCUUGACGGUACCUAAUCAGAAAGCCACGGCUAACUACGUG
This 497-nucleotide ribosomal RNA is filed under the name uncultured bacterium. Its description in RNAcentral is "partial 16S ribosomal RNA". It matches the Rfam family "Bacterial small subunit ribosomal RNA", at positions 28 to 507 of the family's 1533-position model. The record is from RNAcentral.